AAUCAACGCUGGCGGCGUGCCUCAGACAUGCAAGUCGAACGCGAAAGUCCCCUUCGGGGGACGAAGUAGAGUGGCGCACGGGUGAGUAACACGUAGGUAAUCUACCUUCGGAUGGGGAAGUAACAACCGGAAACGGUUGCUAAUACCGCAUAAUGCAGCGGCACCUAAUGGUGACAGUUGUUAAAGCGGGGGAGUCGAAAGACCUCGCGUCUGAAGAGGAGCCUGCGGCGGAUUAGCUAGNGGUUAAGGUAAUGGCUUACCAAGGCGACGAUCCGUAGCCGGCCUGAGAGGGCGGUCGGCCACACUGACACUGACAUACGGGUCAGACUCCUACGGGAGGCAGCAGUCGGGAA
Molecule: ribosomal RNA, 353 nt
Filed under: uncultured bacterium
Lineage: Bacteria
Description: bacterial SSU rRNA
Rfam family: Bacterial small subunit ribosomal RNA
Source: RNAcentral